GCACCAGGUCUGAGCAUGAGAGCUUGCAACUGUGGUACAUUAUGGAGUAGGGUACUAACCCAAAAGAAAAAAUGUCCUCUAAAACUAAUACAUUAGUUUUCAUGUAUAAGGGCCAUGUUUUCCUCUCCUGAGGUGCAAAAAAAAAAAAAAAUCCUGCAAAAAAUGAAAAUGAGAAUAAAAGCAACCAUCUUUAAAUCAUCAUGCUGGGUGUGGUGAGUUUAGGGUUUGGUGCAACCUCCCAUCACUUCUGUGACACACCCAAUCACAAACACACCAUGAAGUCAGAAUAUAAGAGUCCCAACGUCUGGAGGACAUGAGCAUGGAAGAUGCUAUUUUUGUCCAAAUUCUCACACUCUCUCUUUUUGUUCUACAUCCCAUGUACUAACUGACAGGGUUUUCAUGAGUCACAGUCAAGACUGCCACAAAGCUUCUCAUGCAGAGAGAUUCCAGGUCAUAUAGAGAGCUGUGAGAAAAUAAUGGAGGCAUGGACACAGUUACAGCUAUCAUGAGCUUUCUGGAAUCUAGCCUGCUCUGCUGGUUUAUCCAUUUUGUGCUGCUCCCCACUUCCUGACAAGAGGAGAGUGUUUUGCAAGGUGAAGAACAGCAUUGCUUUACUGACAAAAUGGUGAGAUCUACACAGUCAAAGUGACAUUCAGUAUGCAGACUCACCAGGGAAUUUACAAGUCAUCCUAAAACUAUAUCUUCCUUUGUUGAAAGCAUCCCAGCAGAGGAUCGAGGUCACAGUGCAUCACACCUGGAAGGACUGAGACAGGAAUCUGCUAGGUUUUCAACAGAUGUUUUGUUUUGUGAGAUAUUCAUGGCAAGCCACUCUGCCUGGCUCCUUCUUUCAGCCAUGGCUAGUAAGUGCAAAGCUGAGCGCCUGCCAUCUCCAUGCGUGCGGCUGCAUCUCCCCAUGCACCCAGGGGUGAAGGCAGCCACAAGGUCAGCUCUGAGUAACAGCCUCAAGGAGUUUAAAUAA
RNAcentral lists this long non-coding RNA (979 nucleotides) under Cyanistes caeruleus (blue tit). RNAcentral describes it as "lncRNA (ENSCCEG00000022602.1)". The record is from RNAcentral. Lineage: Eukaryota; Metazoa; Chordata; Aves; Passeriformes; Paridae.